UACGUAGGGAGCAAGCGUUGUCCGGAAUCAUUGGGCGUAAAGAGCGUGUAGGCGGCUCGGUAAGUCUGGUGUGAAAUCUUGGGGCUCAACCCCAAGCUGUCAUCGGAUACUGCCGGGCUAGAGUCCGGAAGAGGAGAGUGAAAUUCCUGGUGUAGCGGUGGAAUGCGCAGAUAUCAGGAGGAACACCUAUGGCGAAGGCAGCUCUCUGGUACGGUACUGACGCUGAGACGCGAAAGCGUGGGGAGCGAACAGG
Molecule: ribosomal RNA, 253 nt
Filed under: uncultured bacterium
Lineage: Bacteria
Description: partial 16S ribosomal RNA
Rfam family: Bacterial small subunit ribosomal RNA
Source: RNAcentral